Molecule: non-coding RNA, 8665 nt
Organism: Oryctolagus cuniculus (rabbit)
Lineage: Eukaryota; Metazoa; Chordata; Mammalia; Lagomorpha; Leporidae
Source: RefSeq, a predicted model, not a curated record
GUCUCUUUUUUUUAAAGAUUUUUUUUUUUUAAAUUGACUUAUUUGAGAGGUAGAGUUACAGAGAGAUGGGAAACACAGAGAGAAAGGUCUUCCAUCUGCUGGUUCACUCCCUAAAUGUCCACAAUGGCUGGAGCUGGGAGCCAGGAGCUUCUUCCAGGUCUCCCAUGAGGGUGCAGGGGCCCAAGCACUUGGGCCAUCUUCUACUGCUUUCCCAGGCCAUAAGCUCACCCCAGUCUGGUGGAUAUUAAAAACAUCCUGAAGGUGGAUAUGGUGACCUUUUAUGGUUCAUGGAAGAAACUUUGGAGGUGAUAGAAACUUCAGCAAAAGAACAAGUUAUGGUGGUAGCAGUAGUGGCAGUACAGAUAGUUACCAAGGACAUGAUGGUGACAGCCAGGGUGGAUGUGGCUCUGGUUACAGGAGUAGAGGAGGUGGUAAAUCAAGAUGUGGAAACCAGGCUGGAGGAUAUGGUAGCAGUGUUGGAAGAUAUGGUGGCGACAACGAAGGAGACAAAGUUGGCAGUGUUACAAGGGGUCUUCAAAAAAGUUCAUGGAAAACACAUACUAUGAAAAAACUAUGCAUGGAUUUCAAAACAUUUUCUCACCAAAAUAAAUUUACUUAUCAAUUCAAUUUCCCACCAUGUUUUUGAAGUACCUUUAUAGUUAUGGUGGUGCUGGGAAGUAUAAUGAUUGUGGUAAUUAGAGUGGGUAACAGUGACCAAUGUUUAGAACCAUGAAUGGGGUCAGUUUUGGUGGAAGAAGUUCAGGAAAUCCCGACGGUGUGGUAAUGGAUCUGGUGGAAUAGGUUGUGCAUGUGGUACUAGAAGCUUCUACAAACUCAAGAGGAAAGGACUAGGGUUAGUAUUAUGAGAUAAAGUGAGGAUUGUCAGUAAAGCUGCAAAUCACUUUGAGAGACUUGUCCCAACCACAUUAGAGGAACCGCAAACAGCCCACCACCAAAGGACAAGGGAUCAUUCAUAGCCAGAGAAGUUACUACAGCUUCAAACAGGAUAUUCUGGACCAUCACAGCCAUGGUUUACAAAAGGCAGAGCCAUGAAUAACACAAUCUAUUAAAUGUUCACUCCUCAGUUCUCUUAUUUAUAAGGGAUUUUUCUUUUGAUGGCAUCAGGUGCCUUGCCCUGCAAACUGUGGUAGUACUGAUACCAGGAAUGAAAAUAAAGGAGAGGUAUCUUUCAUCCACUGGUUCACUCCCCAAAUGCGUGCAACAAACCAGUGCCAGACAAGGCCAAAGACAGGAGCCUGGAACUCCAUUCAGGUCUCUCGAAUGGGUGGCAGGAGCCCAAUUACUGGGCCAUUAUAUACUGCCUGCCAGGAUGCAUUAGUAAGCACCUGGAUCAUACGCAGAAGGGCAUUCUGAUGAGGGAAGUGGGCAUCCCAAGCAACUGUUUAAUCUGUUGCACCACAAUGUUCACCCCAGAAAUUUUGAAUUUUCAAAAAUGAUGUUACCAUGCUUUGAAAAUAUCAAUAUUGAUAAUUCUCUGGGAUCACAGUGAUUACUUAAACUAGUGAUAAAGAUUUCUAGAUAGCAGCAAGUAAAAAGGGCAAGAGGUAUACAUUACACAAAAUUCUUUGAGUGUAUGAGCAAAGCCAUUUAAAGGCCAGUGCUAAGGAGAGAAGAUCACGGGCUUUGGAGUGAGGACACUUAGAGGCUGUUUCCAAGCCAUGUGUUCCUUGGGCAAGUAACUUUGCCUUGUAGCUCAAUUUUGUCUUCUGUCUGUGCUAUCAUUAAAACUAAUUCAGAAAUAGCACACACUUCAUAGGGAGGAUUAAGUCAGAUAAUACACAUGAAAAAUCCAGAAACAUGGUAGAAACUCCAUAAAUAUUAUCACAUCCUUCUUACAACAAAGUUGCAAGAAGUUAUUGAUUCAUCUGUUCAAUAGUUACUUUUAGCAUCCACGUGUCCUUUGCUAUUUCGGGAUCUGGGAACACUGAAUGAAAAAGGCAAACAAGGCCCCAGGAGGUACAUAAGAGUGAGUACUUGGAUCUGGGUUGCUUAUCUUGAACGCUGUCCCUACUAGCUGUACAGUCAUUGACAAUCCACUGAAUGUUUCUUCGUAAAACGGGGAUAAUCAUAGUAUUUGGAAAGGGUUUGUGUGUUGGAAUGCAAAGGACCGAACACUGCCUGGCACGUGGUAAGCACUCAGUAAAUGGCUGAGAAUAUUUAUAUGCACUUUACAGGUAACAGAACUGAAGUUCAGCGAGGUUAGGUAAACUUCCUAAGUCAAACAGGUAGCAGGGGAGGUAAGACUUUGUCCUCUGGCCCAUCUGACCCCAAGGCCUACACCAUGUGUUUCUGGCAAGCUGAGCAGGCUAUUUCACGGCAGUUUUUCUAGGCCAUUUCCCAUUACCAAAUUCUCUUGGUGGAAGAUGGAGUGUUUUUUUUUUUUUUUUUUUUAAUUUUCAAUGGAAGAAUUAGAGAAAUCCAAGAAUACAACUUAUAAGGCCCCAGGGCUCUUCAUUAUCUCAGAUUUGUAUACUGCCUAGUCUAGUUUCUGUCCUUUUGGGCCAAACAACAUCUCUCAAACCAUCAAACAGGUCAUCUGGAAGGAACUUAAAAUCAGUCUUUGUAAAUACACAGUGCAUGGAGGUGGCCUCUGCCUUGCAGUCAAUGUCAUAGACACUGGUCUUUCAUUUGUUUUUCGUGUUGAGACUGUUCCAUGUUCCAGGGCAGACAGGAUGGUCUGUGCCUCUUCACAGGCACUGGAGUCUUACAGGAAACAAGAAAGCCUAGCACAGUAUUAGGAUGGUGACAGUAUGGAAAACCAGCAGUCAGGGUCCUGGAAAGGAGUGGUGAACUUAGUCCUCCGGCCAGGCAGGCCUGCAGAGGGAGUGUGGGAAAGGUGGGUCUUGAAGGUUGAGCAGGUCAGUAGUCAGAGAGGGAAGCAGCGCUGGGCAGAAGGGGCUGGGACACCUGGUGGAGGAAGGAAUUCCAUGGUGAGGUGGGGGAGGGGACCUCUCCUUGUUCUCCCUGAUGUCUUCCAGGUGGUGCCUGGCUAAUCCUCAGCAGUGCUUGUUGGCUGAUGGCGAGGUAGAACCUAUCUUUUCCCUCAGAGAUUUUGACUGUGUUGGUUUGGAAUAGGAUUUGGGAACUGAUGUAUUUUAAAAGCUCUACAGAUAAUACUAAUGUCCUUCCAGGUUUGGGACCACUGGACUCAAUAAAUGACUCAACAAGUACAGAUGAGAACGUUUGUAUCUGUGGUUUACUGUAGGUCAGAAGCCUUAUUCCUUUAUAUAUAUACAUAUUUCUUUAUUUAUUUACUUGAGAGUCAGAGUUACACACACACACACAGAGAAGGAGAGAGAGAGAGAGAGAGGUCUUCUAUCCAAUGUUUUAUUUCCCACUUGGCCGCAACAACUGGAACUGUGCCGAUCCGAAGCCAGGGGCCAGGAGCUUCUUCCAGGUCCCCCACAUGGGUGCAGGGACACAAGGACUUGGGCCAUCUUCCACUGCUUUCCCAGGUCAUAGCAGAGAACUGGAUCGGAAGUGAAGCAGCCGGGACUCAAACUAGUGCCCAUAUGAGGUGCCGGCACUGUAGGUGGCGGCCUUAUCCACUACACCACAGCGCCGGCCCCAAGGGGCCUUAUUCUUUGAAAAUAUGUUGGAUGAGGGGACCAGCACCAUGGCGCAGUAAGUUAAUCAUCCGCCUGUGGCGCUGGCAUCCCAUAUGGGUGCUGGUUUUAGUCCUGGCUGCCCCUCUUCCAAUCCAGCUCUCUGCUAUGGCCUGGGAAAGCAGUAGAAGAUGGCCUAAGUCCUUGGGCCCCUGCACCUGCAUGGGAGACCUGGAAGAAGCUCCUGACUCCUGGCUUUGGAUCAGCACAGCUCUGGCCACUGCAGCCAUCUGGGGAGUGAACCAGCAGAAGGAAGACCUUUCUCUCUGUCUCUACCUCUAACUGUCUGUAACUCUACUUCUCAAUUAAAUAAAUAAAAAUCUUAAAAAUAAAAUACCUUAGAUGAAAGCACACUAGUAUUUUUCUAUUCCAUAGUGUGUCAGGAGGAGUCAGAAUGUAAAUGUCCUAAGAUUUAUUUAAAAAUAAGCCUAGCAGGUGUACUAAAAUAUUAACAGUAGAACCUAGCUGAUGGGUAUACAGGUGAGUAUAUAAAAUUAUUUCAAUUCAGGGUGGAUAUUUGCCCUAACUUUAUAUAAAUAUAUAUUUUUAAAAACUUAGUGAGGUGUUUAAAAAUACAAAUAGAAAAAGGUUCAUUUGCUUUAAUAUUGUAUCCAAAAAUAUGAGUAGAACCAAAAGUAGAUAAACAUUAUCACAUCUGUUUACAACACCAUCUAGUUCUUCAUAUUAACUUUACUAUUCAAACAAUAGAAAGUUAAGUGGCAACUUAGGGGCUGGGAAAGAUAAAACCAAAAAAAGUUCUCUACCAUGUUUAUUCUUCCACAUUCUGUACAGCUAUGUCCACAGAGCCAGCUUAUUUUCUUCUCUACCAUGCCUAAUUCAGCUGUAUAUAAAAUUUAACCUGGCCGACACUGUGGCUCAGUAGGCUAAUCCUCCACCUGCGGCGCCAGCACCUGGGGUUUGGGGUUCUAGUUCCGGUUGGGGCGCUGGAUUCUGUCCUGGUUGCUCCUCUUCCAGUCCAGCUCUCUGCUGUGGCCCGGGAAGGCAGUGGAGGAUGGCCCAAGUGCCUGGGCCCUGCACCCGCAUGGGAGACCAGGAGAAAGCACCUGGCUCCUGGCUUGGGAUCGGCGCAGCGCCAGCCAUAGGGGCCAUCUGGGGAGUGAACCAAUGGAAGGAAAACCUUUCUGUCUCUAUCUCUAACUCUGCCUGUCAAAAAAAAAAAAAAAAAAAACCUGAUGGGACCAAAGCUGUGGCGUGGUGGGUAAAGCCGCCACCUGCAGUGCCGGCAUCCCAUAUGGGCUCUGGUUUGAGUCCUGGCUGCUCCACUUCCAAUCCAGCUCUCUGCUAUGGCCUGGGAAAGCAAUAUAAGAUGGCCCAAGUCUUUGGGCCCCUGCACUCACGUGGGAGACCCAUAAGAAGUUCCUGGCUCCUGGCUUCAGGUAGGUGCAGCUCCGGCUGUUGUGGCCAACCUGGGAGUGAAUCAGUGGAUGGAAGACCUCUCUCUCUCUCUCUCUGCCUCUCUGUGUAACUCUUUCAAAUAAAUAAAUAAAUCUUUUUUUUAAAGUGUAAUAGGUAAGAAGAUCCAGGUUGAUUACACCCUAGAGUAGGGGGCCAGGUCUGUUGGAUGGACUUGUUGCUGAACUGGUUGCCUCAUCCAAGGCCAGCCAAUCUGUGAGCCACUGUGAGCAGCACCAUACACAUGCUGCUUCCUGCUAAUGCACACCCUGAAAGGAAGCAGACUCCAGGACCCUGCCACUCCUGUGGGUGACCCGAAUUGAAUGCUGAGCUCCUGGCUUUGGCCUGGCCUCGCUCCAGCUGUUGCAGACAUUUGAAGGGUGAACCAAGAGGUGGAAGAUCUAUCUCUGUCUCUCUUUCAAACAAACAAAAAUUUAAAAUUUAAUUUUUUGUUAAUGGCAAAGAUCCUAUUCAUCUGUAUCUCCAACACCUGGCAUGGAACCUGAACUAUAGUCAGACUCAGUAAUGUUUGUUGAAUGAAUAAAGUGACAAGUGGUUGAUUUAAAGGAAGACACGGUUGUCUGGAGCUGAAUGAAGAAAAACCUUGAAUACAGUCCCACUGAAUGAUCUUGAAGCCAGGGGAUUCUCAGGAUUCUCUCAGGAAGACAAGAACCCUGCAUUUUUUCCGGUAACACAAGUACUUGGACUAUCCUCCUCUGCCUUCUCAGGCACUUAGCAGGGAGCUGGAUUGGAAGUACAGCAGCCAGGACUCAAACUGUGCUCCUACAUGGGAUGCUGGUGUCACAGGCAAGGUCUUAACCUGCUGGGCCCCUAAAGAUCUUAUUUUUUUUAAAGAUUUAUUUAUUUAUUAUUUAUCUGAAAGUCAGAGUUACAUACAGAGAGAAAGAGAGGCAGAGAGAGAGGUCUUCCAUCCGCUGGUUCACUCCCCAAUUGGCUGCAAUGGCCAGAGCUGCACCGAUCCGGAGCCAGGAGCCAGGAGCCUCCUCUGAGUCUCCCAUGUGGGUGCAGGGGCCCAUGGACUUGGGCCAUCUUCCACUGCUUUCCCAGGCCAUAGCAGAGAGCUGGAUUGGAAGUGGAGCAGCCGGAACUAGAACCAGCACCCAUAUGGGGCUCUAACCUGCUGCACCACAGUGCCAGCCCUGCUUUGUUUUCUAUUCAUGAAAUGGGCAACAUUUUAUUCCAUAAAAUAGGAUGAGUGUUCUGAUGUGAAGAAAAAAGGAGGUUGGUUUAAUAGACAGAAAUAGGCUGAAUAAAGUAAAAGCAAAAGAAGCAUAAAAGCAGAUUUGUCACGUAAAAGUCACCUUUCUUCUAAGGGGGGAACAGCGUGACAAGAACAAGAAAAUAACUGAUAAAUGUUAAAUGUUAAAUUUCUUAACCUUGACUUGAAAGGAAUGGCCGAGAGCCAAGAGCCACCAUAAGAAUGGCCUUAAUAAAACAGUCCUGGGAAAUGGGGAGUAAGUUCACAGAGACGGCAGAUAGCUACUACCCAGAGAUAAGGGCUACUACCCAGAGAUAAGGGCGACAGAACAUCCUGGUACGCACCUAAGCCCCCUCCCCUGUGCUUGUUCAAGCUUAACAAAGAAACCGCGAGGCACGUAGGGCACGUAGCCACCCCUUUCUGCUCUUCAAGGACCCCCUCCCCAUAUCCAAGCUUAGACAUGUAGGGCACGUAGCCCCCUGUUUCUCCUCCUCCUCGACGACCUCCUCCCCUUGUAGUUGCCCAAUAAACUUACGCCACCCUAUAGUAUGUUAAUUUUGUGGUUUUGCCCUUUAAAAACUGUGUAAAAUGAUUGUUCAGGGCUCCUCUCUCUUGCUCCCUGCUUGCAGCAGUAGAGGGUCCAUUUGCGCAAAUGAAAUAAAAUUGCCUCCUGCCUUUUGCAUCCUCUGGUCUGGAGUCUGUGUUUCUGGGGUCGUCACAAAAGGACACCGCUUUUGGGGUCCUACAGACUGAAGCAGAGGGAGGUUAUGAUCAUAUAAAUUACUAGUCUGUGUAGGAAACUUGUCCGUUACCUCUCUAAUCCUAUUUUCUCAGAAAGUCAGAGAAACAGCCUGGAUUCAACUUGGUGCAACUUUAAUGUCAUUGAUUCCAUUUUGAUUUUCAGCCUGGUCCGUUGGGGUUUCGUGCAGGAACUUUGUUCAAAACAAUGACCUCGUGCAACUUUUACUGAAUAUUAGUAUGAGUUGUUACAGGUUGGCCAGAAAGCAACUUUAAUUUUAGAUUCUAUCAAUAUUAGAGCAAAAAGAAUCUUACUGCUUCAGCUCUGAAGCACAAAAAUUGUAACUUGUUCUGUAAAGUAAAAAUUACAUGAAGUCAUUGUUUUGGAUUGAGCUCCUACACUGGGUCUCAAUAGACCAGGCAAGAAAUCAAAAUGGAGUCACGCAUGCUGAAGUUCAGUAACAGAGCUGGUGUUGUGGAGCUGCGGGUUAAGCCACUGCCUGUAAUGCUGGCAUCCCAUGUGAACGCCCAUAGGAGCUACUCGGCUUCUGAUCUAGCUCCUUGCUAAUGCACUUGGGAAAGCAGCAGCUGAUAGCCCAAGUGCUUGGGCCCCUGCCACCAACAUGUGAAACCCUGAUGGAGUUUCAGGUUCCAGGCUGUUGCAGCCAUUUGAAGAGUGAAAGAGGAUCUUUCAUUUCAUUUCAUCUUUUUCUCCCUCUCUGUAACUCUUCCUUUCAAAUAAGCAAAUAAAUUUUUAAAAAUAAAAAAAUAAAGUUCCAUUUCACCAAGCAAAAACUAAAUUGAUCUCUCAGAAAUCAGGAUUGGAGACAAAACAGGCUAACUUUCCAAACAGACCAGUUUCAACUGUCAUGAUAAUGAAGUUCCCUCUGCUUUAAUUCUUACACAAAAGAAGUAACUUUAUGUUAACAAAUCAGUUAAUUUCCCCAUUAUUCUGUCUUGCUUGCCCUACCUUACAGAGAAAGUAACUAGGAAAUGAGCCAUCUGCUUAUUUAUUUGUUUAUUUGGUUAGCCCAUUGAAUUUUAUUAUGGAAAUAUUUCAUAACAUAUAGAUUUACUGGUCUGGUGCUGUGGCUUAGUAGGUUAAGCCUCCACCUGUGACGCUGACACUCCAUAUGGGCACCGGUUCGUGUCCUGGGUGUUCUACUUCCGAUCCAGCUCUCUGCUAAUGGCCCGGGAAAGCAGUGGAAGAUGGCCUGUUAGGUAGGAAGUCAGAUAUGAGCUUAUAUGUGUGUAACAAUGUCCAGCAUAUGCAUCUACAUCUCAAAGCCAUCCUGACAAUGUUUCAGGGGCAGCCCAGUAUUCGCAUCCUGCCCUGCCCCCUUCUACCUGAUAACCUGCCAGGUGGGGUCCCCACCCCUUCUGCCUGACAAAUCUUCCACAAUCUCCCAGGCGCAGCCCAGUAUCUGCAUUUCAAACACCCUGCUCUGGAUCCCAAUUCUCUAGGGGUCCUGCUCACCCUUCCUCCUGUCUGAUAACAUUUGCAUCCAUAGAGUCCUUUGUUUCAGGAGGAGGGAAAAUUCAGGGAGGAGCUUCUUAACAUUUGCAUAUAUAAAGUCCUUUGUUUCAGACCUUCAAGAAAAAACUCAGAUAGAAGUUUUUCUAUUUACAUCCAAAAAGCCCUUUGUUCCAAGAGGAGCAGAGGUAGGGA